UUAACUUUUUUUUUUUUCUUUUUUAACAGGAAAUGUACUGUGCACUCAGAAUGCAAAGGGAGAAAAGAGAUGUAAGGGGAACAAUCCUGCCACCCCAUGCAAGAAGUCACCAAUCCCUGGUGCCCUUGACCCCCAUCUCUGUGGCUCAGACUACCUCCGUGGCCCUGCUGUGCGCUCUGACUCUUCAUCACUGCAAGACAAACUGCACCAGAGCUCGGACUUCUCCAGGGGAUGUAACACCAAUAGUGCAAUUAGGAAGUGUGGAACUGCUGUCCUCUACUUACCUGAGCCUGGUCAUCACCCCAGGACCAACCUUUCUGACUUUGGUCCUAAGGCCCGCUACCUUGAGACAGGGAUAAAAAUAGAACUACCCCAGGAAGUUUCAAGUUCCAGACCAGGAGGCAUGGAUGCCAGACGUGCCAGCGUGACCUACAAUAGCCUUCCUUCACCUGGAGCUCCUUGAAGGUUCCUGCAUGUGGAUGGCAUCACAGGCACCCGAUUAUAACAGAGUGAAUUCUGGGAAAGGACAUGUGCAGUAGCCUCAGCACUCUGAUGGUCACACUGUGCAUCAUGCCCUGAAAGACCCAGUGGGCACCGCCUUUCACCUGGCACAUUCUAGAUAUUUGUACCCCCCCACCCCGCCUUCAGUGCUUCCUGCUGGAGUGUCCUCAGAGCGUACCAUCAUCUUAUUAAACUCUGCUGCUGUUCCCUUCCUUACCUUUGCGGGCCACUUCUAAUUUUUCACCCCAAACACUUGAGCCUCAAACCCGUGAGCUAGAAACCCAUUUGCGAUGCAUCGCCUGUGGUAACACCAGAACAGUAUGCAGCACCCUCUGUAGGACUGGCCUUGGGGUCAGGUGAUGCACAGGAGCAGGAGUUAAUGCACACGGAGAGCACA
RNAcentral lists this long non-coding RNA (898 nucleotides) under Cavia porcellus (domestic guinea pig). RNAcentral's name for it is "lncRNA (ENSCPOG00000031323.1)". Lineage: Eukaryota; Metazoa; Chordata; Mammalia; Rodentia; Caviidae. The record is from RNAcentral.